RNAcentral lists this small nucleolar RNA (69 nucleotides) under Charadrius vociferus (killdeer). RNAcentral describes it as "Small nucleolar RNA SNORD50". It matches the Rfam family "Small nucleolar RNA SNORD50". From Rfam's summary of the family: U50 belongs to the C/D class of snoRNA which contain the C (UGAUGA) and D (CUGA) box motifs. Most of the members of the box C/D family function in directing site-specific 2'-O-methylation of substrate RNAs. U50 is an intronic snoRNA gene located on chromosome 6q15, at the breakpoint of chromosomal translocation t(3;6)(q27;q15). The record is from Rfam by way of RNAcentral. Lineage: Eukaryota; Metazoa; Chordata; Aves; Charadriiformes; Charadriidae.
GAUCGGUGAAGAACCUAUCCCAAACCUGAUUACGUGAUCAAAAACACAUGUGAAUCUGACAGCUGAGUU